UCUGCCCCUAGAGACCCUGAAGGUGUGGCUGCGGUGUCACAUGUCUAUCUAUCAGGAGGCAGCAGAGAGGAGAGAGGCAAUACCUAUGUUCAGUGUUCUGACCUAUGUACAGCUGAAUGAUUAGUAGCCUGACAUU
This 136-nucleotide small nucleolar RNA is filed under the name Meriones unguiculatus (Mongolian gerbil). RNAcentral's name for it is "Small nucleolar RNA SNORA17 (ENSMUGG00000007398.1)". It matches the Rfam family "Small nucleolar RNA SNORA17". From Rfam's summary of the family: snoRNA ACA 17 belongs to the H/ACA family of snoRNAs and is predicted to guide pseudouridylation of the 28S rRNA at positions U4659 and U4598. It shares the same host gene together with ACA43. NB This family has a high threshold value to exclude a large number of closely related sequences that do not appear to have conserved H and ACA boxes, and may be pseudogenes. The record is from RNAcentral. Lineage: Eukaryota; Metazoa; Chordata; Mammalia; Rodentia; Muridae.